This 433-nucleotide ribosomal RNA is filed under the name uncultured bacterium. RNAcentral describes it as "partial 16S ribosomal RNA". It matches the Rfam family "Bacterial small subunit ribosomal RNA", at positions 29 to 507 of the family's 1533-position model. The record is from RNAcentral.
AACGAACGCUGGCGGCAUGCCUAACACAUGCAAGUCGAACGAGACCUUCGGGUCUAGUGGCGCACGGGUGCGUAACGCGUGGGAACCUGCCCUUAGGUUCGGAAUAACUCCCCGAAAGGGGUGCUAGUACCGGAUAAUGUCUUCGGACCAAAGAUUUAUCGCCUUUGGAUGGGCCCGCGUUGGAUUAGCUAGUUGGUAGGGUAAAAGCCUACCAAGGCGACGAUCCAUAGCUGGUCUGAGAGGAUGAUCAGCCACACUGGGACUGAGACACGGCCCAGACUCCUACGGGAGGCAGCAGUGGGGAAUAUUGGACAAUGGGCGAAAGCCUGAUCCGGCAAUGCCGCGUGAGUGAUGAAGGCCUUAGGGUUGUAAAGCUCUUUUACCCGGGAUGAUAAUGACAGUACCGGGAGAAUAAGCUCCGGCUAACUCCGUG